Molecule: long non-coding RNA, 785 nt
Organism: Perognathus longimembris pacificus (Pacific pocket mouse)
Lineage: Eukaryota; Metazoa; Chordata; Mammalia; Rodentia; Heteromyidae
Exons: 2
Source: RefSeq, a predicted model, not a curated record
AUGGUCUAAAAAGGUGCUUAAUUCCAGUAAGAAAAAAAAAUGCAAAUAAUAAGACCAGAGGAUCCUUUAAGGACUAGAGUGCCUGAUGCAAGCAUUAUCAGGCACUGCCUAUUCACAUCUAGUCUUUCCUCUGCACAUAAGAAGUCAGUGACAAUGAACGAACGCAAACAUGUAAGACAGGAAAUUGAACUUCACCCUUCCAAUUCAGAAAAAUUUCAGUGGUUGACCUUUCUUUUAUACCUUCCCUGAGCUGUGGGUUCCAGUGAAAUGCUUAACUACAACAAGUUAAACAGUGGCACUUGUUGUUCCAAACAAGUCCUGGAUGAGGAUUUCCAACACAUGGGUUUAGGAACGAGCCAGGACUGUGAUAGAAGGAUGGCUGCAGGUGUGGUGUUCAGGUUCUUCUUGGCCCUGCCCCCGGGACUGGGCAAUACUGCUUGCAGGAAGCCACAGACUUAAAACCCGCAGGGGACAUUCUUUAGAGACUGAGCCACACUGUCUGCUUGCUCCUUGUUGAGGUUAGCGCACAUAGCACUGGUUAUUUGCAAAGAUAACUUUUAAUAUCUCAGACUUGAUUAUUUCAUUAAAUUAAGUGAACUUUACCCAAAUAAAUAGGAUAGGUGAAAAGAUGAAAAAAAUCUGAACACAUGCUAAAUGUACUAGUGCCUGUAUUUCAGUAGGAUCUUGUAAUUUGAACUAUUUUUAAUAAUAAGAGGCACACGUGCAAUGGAAAGCAUUUUUCUGUUCCACUUCCAACAUUCCACAUUGUUAGGUUGGUUUUUUUU